AGCAGCCGCGGUAAUUCCAGCUCCAAUAGCGUAUAUUAAAGUUGUUGCAGUUAAAAAGCUCGUAGUUGAAUUUCGGGAUCAAUACGUUGGUCGUGCUUUCGGGUACGUACUGGCGUCAUUGGUUUCUCCCUUCUGACGAACCUUGAUGUCAUUAAUUUGGUGUCUUGGGAAAUCAGGACUGUUACUUUGAAAAAAUUAGAGUGUUUAAAGCAGGCUCACGCUUGAAUACAUUAGCAUGGAAUAAUGAAAUAGGACGUUUGAUUCUAUUUUGUUGGUUUCUAGGAUCGACGUAAUGAUUAAUAGGGAUAGUUGGGGGGCAUUAGUAUUCAAUUGUCAGAGGUGAAAUUCUUGGAUUUAUUGAAGACUAACUACUGCGAAAGCAUUUGCCAAGGAUGUUUUUCAUUAAUCAAGAACGAAAGUUAGGGGAUCGAAGACGAUCAGAUACCGUCGUAGUCUUAACCAUAAACUAUGCCGACUAGGGAUCGGAUGAUGUUAAUUUUUUUAAUGACUCAUUCGGCGC
RNAcentral lists this ribosomal RNA (520 nucleotides) under uncultured Glomus. Its description in RNAcentral is "SSU rRNA". It matches the Rfam family "Eukaryotic small subunit ribosomal RNA", at positions 569 to 1086 of the family's 1831-position model. Lineage: Eukaryota; Fungi; Glomeromycota; Glomeromycetes; Glomerales; Glomeraceae. The record is from RNAcentral.